This 267-nucleotide ribosomal RNA is filed under the name uncultured bacterium. RNAcentral describes it as "partial 16S ribosomal RNA". It matches the Rfam family "Bacterial small subunit ribosomal RNA", at positions 92 to 354 of the family's 1533-position model. The record is from RNAcentral.
CGACCGGCGCACGGGUGAGUAACGCGUAUGCAACCUGCCCGGUUUCAGCGGGAUAACCCGGAGAAAUCCGGCCUAAUACCGCAUGUGGCCGAGGGGAGGCAUCUUCUUUCGGCCAAAGGAGGCGACUCCGGAGACGGAUGGGCAUGCGUGACAUUAGCUAGUUGGCGGGGUAACGGCCCACCAAGGCGACGAUGUCUAGGGGUUCUGAGAGGAAGGUCCCCCACACUGGUACUGAGACACGGACCAGACUCCUACGGAAGGCAGCAG